Molecule: ribosomal RNA, 168 nt
Filed under: Limosilactobacillus fermentum
Lineage: Bacteria; Bacillati; Bacillota; Bacilli; Lactobacillales; Lactobacillaceae
Description: Lactobacillus fermentum partial 16S ribosomal RNA
Source: RNAcentral
AAUCCGGCCUUUAUGGGCAGGUUACCUACGUGUUACUCACCCGUUCCGCCACUCGUUGGCGACCAAAAUCAAUGAGAAUGCAAGCACCAUCAAUCAAUUGGGCCAACGCGUUCGACUUGCAUGUAUUAGGCACACCGCCGGCGUUCAUCCUGAGCCAUGAUCAAACUC